Molecule: long non-coding RNA, 746 nt
Organism: Thunnus maccoyii (southern bluefin tuna)
Lineage: Eukaryota; Metazoa; Chordata; Actinopteri; Scombriformes; Scombridae
Exons: 3
Source: RefSeq, a predicted model, not a curated record
CUCUGUUCAUUGUGGUUCAGUCUGUCGGAGGAUGAGGAUGAACAUCUGCAGCUGCCUGUUAGCUUUAGUUCUGGGCUGUAAUGUGACAGCAGAGCUUUGCACAGUCAGGCUUGCUGUCUGUCUCACACAAACGCCUUAAGACUCGAGGUGAUCGAGUUUUUGAAGUCGUAGCAUCUAAACUAUGUAACGCUCUGCCUGCUCCCUCACAGUCUGCUGACUCUGUGGAUUCAUUUAAAAAGCAGCUAAAGACAAACUCGUUUAGACAGGCAGGGUAACCUGUAAGCACCAGAAAUAAUCCAUCAAAUAGUCAAAGAGGAGCAACAAGUCUCUCUGCAUUGUUCUCACUCUGUGGAGGGUAAAGUGACGUGGAGCAGAGAGAUUAAUGGAAACACAGUUGACAUAUUAAUAGCUGAUGGUGACGGAGACCAAAGAUUCAAUGACUCCCACAAACGAUACAGUUCAUUAGCAGAUAAGUCACUGCACAUCUCUAGAGUUGCUGUCUCAGACUCUGGAAAAUACUUGUGUAAUAAUGAAUCAGCUGUGGAACUGACGGUGAUCCCAUCAGGUAACAUCAAACUCUGUCAAAGUUGUUCUGCUUCCUGUUUCUUCCUGUUUCAAAGUCUCGUCUCUGUGCUUCACUUUUCAUUUUCUAAACUGUGAUUAAAUACAUACAUUGACAUAUUAAUGAAAUGAUGCAUUUCAAAGGUAAAUGUGGUUUUAACUUCAAUAACAAAUAUAUUGUAAGA